GACUAAGUGGCCGAUGAUAGGUAUUAAACUGUAAAUUUAAAAAAGAGUAAUUUUCCUAGUUA
This 62-nucleotide transfer RNA is filed under the name Mesaphorura yosii. RNAcentral describes it as "tRNA-Tyr". Lineage: Eukaryota; Metazoa; Arthropoda; Collembola; Poduromorpha; Tullbergiidae. The record is from RNAcentral.